RNAcentral lists this ribosomal RNA (389 nucleotides) under uncultured bacterium. Its description in RNAcentral is "bacterial SSU rRNA". It matches the Rfam family "Bacterial small subunit ribosomal RNA", at positions 28 to 417 of the family's 1533-position model. The record is from RNAcentral.
GACGAACGCUGGCGGCGUGCUUAACACAUGCAAGUCGAGCGGUAAGGCCCUUUCGGGGGUACACGAGCGGCGAACGGGUGAGUAACACGUGGGUGACCUGCCCUUAGCUCUGGGAUAAGCCUGGGAAACUGGGUCUAAUACCGGAUAUGACUCCAUGACGCAUGUUGUGGGGUGGAAAGCCUUGUGCGGCUAGGGAUGGGCCCGCGGCCUAUCAGCUUGUUGGGUGGGGUGANGGCCUACCAAGGCGACGACGGGUAGCCGGCCUGAGAGGGCGACCGGCCACACUGGGACUGAGACACGGCCCAGACUCCUACGGGAGGCAGCAGUGGGGAAUCUUGCGCAAUGGGCGAAAGCCUGACGCAGCGACGCCGCGUGAGGGAUGACGGCCU